CGGGAUGUGGCGAAGCUUGGUAUCGCGCUUGGUUUGGGACCAAGAGAACGUCGGUUCGAAUCCGGCCAUCCCGA
This 74-nucleotide transfer RNA is filed under the name Armatimonadota bacterium. RNAcentral describes it as "tRNA-Pro". It matches the Rfam family "tRNA". Rfam says of the family: Transfer RNA (tRNA) molecules are approximately 80 nucleotides in length. Lineage: Bacteria; Bacillati; Armatimonadota. The record is from RNAcentral.